UGUCUCCCCUGAUGACUUGCACUGGGCUCUGAGUCCACAUGCAGAGGACGUGCAUCUUUGGCCCUGACAAGCCAGAGUUUCUGAGGAGAUU
Molecule: small nucleolar RNA, 91 nt
Filed under: Scophthalmus maximus (turbot)
Lineage: Eukaryota; Metazoa; Chordata; Actinopteri; Pleuronectiformes; Scophthalmidae
Source: RNAcentral